This is a long non-coding RNA of Oncorhynchus tshawytscha (Chinook salmon), 865 nucleotides long. The record is from Ensembl. NCBI's taxonomy places the organism in Eukaryota, Metazoa, Chordata, Actinopteri, Salmoniformes, Salmonidae.
CUAAGAACAAGGCAGUUAACACACUGUUCCCCUAAGAACAAGGCAGUUAACACACUGUUCCCCUAAGAACAAGGCAGUUAACACACUGUUCCCCUGAACAAGGCAGUUAACCCACUGUUCCCCUGAACAAGGCAGUUAACACACUGUUCCCCUGAACAAGGCAGUUAACCCACUGUUCCCCUGAACAAGGCAGUUAACACACUGUUCCUAGACCUUCAUUGAAAAUUAGAAUUUGUUCUCAACUGACUUGCCUAGUUAAAUAAAGGUUAAAUUAUAAAAAUGGUGAAAUAAAUAUCAGAAUUGGGCUGCCUCAAACACGCACACUCACUCUGCCCAGAGUUUGUGAAAAUGUAAUUUUCUUUAUGUUACUAAAUACAUUUUACCAGGGCAAAUGGGAGUAUUCAUGAUCUGUACCAUUGUGGGGUAUUUCUCCAACAUUAGGUCAUCUGAUGACCUAUAAUACAUCUGACAAACACCAAGCUCUGUUGAUGUCCUGACCUCUGGUAAUAAACACCAAGCUCUGUUGAUGUCCUGACCUCUGGUAAUAAACACCAAGCUCUGUUGAUGUCUUGACCUCUGGUAAUAAACACCAAGCUCUGUUGAUGUCUUGACCUCUGGUAAUAAACACCAAGCUCUGUUGAUGUCCUGACCUCUGGUAAUAAACACCAAGCUCUGUUGAUGUCUUGACCUCUGGUAAUAAACACCAAGCUCUGUUGAUGUCCUGUCUUCAUGCUCCACCAACCAAGCCUUGUCUUCAUGCUCCACCAACCAGGCCCUGUCCCUAUGCUGCACUAACCAGGCCUUGUCUUCAUGCUCCACCAACCAGGCCUUGUCUUCAUGCUCCACCAACCAGGCCUUGUCUUCA